CCUACGGGAGGCAGCAGUAGGGAAUAUUGGACAAUGGGCGAAAGCCUGAUCCAGCAAUGCCGCGUGUGUGAAGAAGGCCCGCGGGUUGUAAAGCACUUUCAGUAGAGAAGAAAAGCCUACGGUUAAUAACCGUGAGUCUUGACGUUACCUACAGAAGAAGCUCCGGCUAACUCCGUGCCAGCAGCCGCGGUAAU
Molecule: ribosomal RNA, 194 nt
Filed under: uncultured bacterium
Lineage: Bacteria
Description: partial 16S ribosomal RNA
Rfam family: Bacterial small subunit ribosomal RNA
Source: RNAcentral